GACGAACGCUGGCGGCGUGCUUAACACAUGCAAGUCGAACGGGCCCGCUCUCUUUUUUGGGGGUGGGUUGAGUGGCGAACGGGUGAGUAUCACUGGAGUAACCUGCCCCCUGCUCCUGGAUAACUGCUUGAAAGGGCGGCUAAUACGGGGUGUGCCGGCUGGUCCGCAUGGGCCUGGUCGGGAUAGUUUCAUCUUCGGGUGUUUCGGUGGGUGAUGGGCUCGCGGCCUAUCAGCUUGUUGGUGGGGUGAUGGCCCACCAAGGCGGUGACGGGUAGCCGGCGUGAGAGGGUGGGCGGCCAGACGGGGACUGAGACACGGCCCAGACUCCGGAGGGAGGCAGCAGGGGGGGGUAUCGCAGAAUGGGCGGAAGCCUGAUGCAGCGACGGCGCGUGAGGGAUGGAGGCCGUCGGGUUGUGAACCUUUUUGUCCGGUGGCGAAGGCCCUGUCCGUUGCGGCGGGGUUGACGGUAGCCGGGGAUGAAGCGCCGGCUAACUACGUG
RNAcentral lists this ribosomal RNA (499 nucleotides) under uncultured bacterium. RNAcentral's name for it is "partial 16S ribosomal RNA". It matches the Rfam family "Bacterial small subunit ribosomal RNA", at positions 28 to 507 of the family's 1533-position model. The record is from RNAcentral.